GACGAACGCUGGCGGCGUGCCUAAUACAUGCAAGUCGAACGAACUCUGGUAUUGAUUGGUGCUUGCAUCAUGAUUUACAUUUGAGUGAGUGGCGAACUGGUGAGUAACACGUGGGAAACCUGCCCAGAAGCGGGGGAUAACACCUGGAAACAGAUGCUAAUACCGCAUAACAACUUGGACCGUAUGGUCCGAGUUUGAAAGAUGGCUUCGGCUAUCACUUUUGGAUGGUCCCGCGGCGUAUUAGCUAGAUGGUGAGGUAACGGCUCACCAUGGCAAUGAUACGUAGCCGACCUGAGAGGGUAAUCGGCCACAUUGGGACUGAGACACGGCCCAAACUCCUACGGGAGGCAGCAGUAGGGAAUCUUCCACAAUGGACGAAAGUCUGAUGGAGCAACGCCGCGUGAGUGAAGAAGGGUUUCGGCUCGUAAAACUCUGUUGUUAAAGAAGAACAUAUCUGAGAGUAACUGUUCAGGUAUUGACGGUAUUUAACCAGAAAGCCACGGCUAACUACGUGCCAGCAGCCGCGGUAAUACGUAGGUGGCAAGCGUUGUCCGGAUUUAUUGGGCGUAAAGCGAGCGCAGGCGGUUUUUUAAGUCUGAUGUGAAAGCCUUCGGCUCAACCGAAGAAGUGCAUCGGAAACUGGGAAACUUGAGUGCAGAAGAGGACAGUGGAACUCCAUGUGUAGCGGUGAAAUGCGUAGAUAUAUGGAAGAACACCAGUGGCGGAAGGCGGCUGUCUGGUCUGUAACUGACGUUGAGGCUCGAAAGUAUGGGUAGCAAACAGGAUUAGAUACCCUGGUAGUCCAUACCGUAAACGAUGAAUGCUAAGUGUUGGAGGGUUUCCGCCCUUCAGUGCUGCAGCUAACGCAUUAAGCAUUCCGCCUGGGGAGUACGGCCGCAAGGCUGAAACUCAAAGGAAUUGACGGGGGCCCGCACAAGCGGUGGAGCAUGUGGUUUAAUUCGAAGCUACGCGAAGAACCUUACCAGGUCUUGACAUACUAUGCAAAUCUAAGAGAUUAGACGUUCCCUUCGGGGACAUGGAUACAGGUGGUGCAUGGUUGUCGUCAGCUCGUGUCGUGAGAUGUUGGGUUAAGUCCCGCAACGAGCGCAACCCUUAUUAUCAGUUGCCAGCAUUAAGUUGGGCACUCUGGUGAGACUGCCGGUGACAAACCGGAGGAAGGUGGGGAUGACGUCAAAUCAUCAUGCCCCUUAUGACCUGGGCUACACACGUGCUACAAUGGAUGGUACAACGAGUUGCGAACUCGCGAGAGUAAGCUAACCUCUUAAAGCCAUUCUCAGUUCGGAUUGUAGGCUGCAACUCGCCUACAUGAAGUCGGAAUCGCUAGUAAUCGCGGAUCAGCAUGCCGCGGUGAAUACGUUCCCGGGCCUUGUACACACCGCCCGUCACACCAUGAGAGUUUGUAACACCCAAAGUCGGUGGGGUAACCUUUUAGGAACCAGCCGCCUAAGGUGGGACAGAUGAUUAGGGUG
Molecule: ribosomal RNA, 1490 nt
Filed under: Lactiplantibacillus pentosus
Lineage: Bacteria; Bacillati; Bacillota; Bacilli; Lactobacillales; Lactobacillaceae
Description: bacterial SSU rRNA
Rfam family: Bacterial small subunit ribosomal RNA
Source: RNAcentral